UACGUAGGGUGCGAGCGUUGUCCGGAAUUAUUGGGCGUAAAGAGCUCGUAGGCGGUUUGUUGCGUCGGCUGUGAAAUCCCGAGGCUCAACCUCGGGUCUGCAGUCGAUACGAGCAAACUAGAGUGUUGAAGGGGAGACUGGAAUUCCUGGUGUAGCGGUGAAAUGCGCAGAUAUCAGGAGGAACACCGGUGGCGAAGGCGGGUCUCUGGGCAACAACUGACGCUGAGGAGCGAAAGCGUGGGGAGCGAACAGG
Molecule: ribosomal RNA, 253 nt
Filed under: uncultured bacterium
Lineage: Bacteria
Description: partial 16S ribosomal RNA
Rfam family: Bacterial small subunit ribosomal RNA
Source: RNAcentral